AUGAAUGACUAGAAAGACUUCGUCAAUGGGAUCUUCCUUUUACUUUAUUCUACUAUUUUCUAAAUCAUGUAGAUAAUUGGUCAUUACAUUAUGCUAUGGUUUGGCAUUGUGUCAUUAGAGAUUCACUUCAAUGCUUGCUCAUCACUUCUAAAUUCUGCUUCAUAAUGGCCCUUGCCAUUCCUUGGCUAACAUCUUUGCAAUUUUAGCAAAUUUGACCCAUGGUGGAGG
This 228-nucleotide unclassified non-coding RNA is filed under the name Hevea brasiliensis (rubber tree). The record is from RNAcentral. Lineage: Eukaryota; Viridiplantae; Streptophyta; Magnoliopsida; Malpighiales; Euphorbiaceae.